GGACCGGCACUGAGACACGGGCCGGACUCCUACGGGAGGCAGCAGGGGGGAAUCUUGGGCAAUGGGUGAAAGCCUGACCCAGCGACGCCGCGUGCGGGAAGAAGCCCUUCGGGGUGUAAACCGCUGUCGGGAGGGACAAAGAGCUCCCCAAAAGGGAGCUUGAUGGUACCUCCGGAGGAAGGGACGGCUAACUCCGUGCCAGCAGCCGCGGUAAUACGGAGGUCCCAAGGGUUGCCCGGAGUGACUGGGCGUAAAGGGUCCGUAGGCGGCCUGGUAAGUCUCCCGUGAAAGCUGCCCGCUCAACGGGCAGAGGUCGGGAGAUACUGCUGGGCUCGGGACCGGCAGGGGGGACCGGAAUUCCCGGUGUAGCGGUGAAAUGCGUAGAUAUCGGGAGGAACGCCGAUGCCGAAGGGGGGUCCCUAGGCCGGCUCCGACGCUGAGGGACGAAAGCUGGGGGAGCGAACCGGAUUAGAGACCCGGGUAGUCCCAGCCGUCAACGAUGGGUGCUAGGGGGCGGGGUAAAUCCUCGCGCCCGAAGCUAACGCGUUAAGCACCCCGCCUGGGGAGUACGGCCGCAAGGCCGAAACUCAAACGAAUUGACGGGGACCCGAACAAGCCGCGGUGCAUUUGGUUUAAUUCGAUGCAGCGCGAAGAACCUUACCCGGGCUUGACAUGCCAGCUCAAGCCUGCCCGAAAGGGUAAGGUGGGCUGGGCGAUAAGUCCAGCCAGCUGGCACAGGUGCUACAUGGCUGUCGUCAGCUCGUGCCGUGAGGCGUCGGGUUAAGUCCCAGAACGAGCGCAACCCCUGCCCGCUGUUGCCAUUCCCCGAGAGGAGAGGCACUCUGCGGGGACUGCCGGCGAAGAGUCGGAGGAAGGAGGGGACGACGUCAAGCCCGCAUGGCCCUUAUGCCCGGGGCUACACAAGUGCAACAAUGGCCGGGACAAAGGGAUGCAAAGCCGCAAGGCUGAGCAAAUCCCAAAAACCUGGCCCCAGUUCGGAUCGGGGUCUGCAACCCGACCCCGUGAAGCCGGAGUGGCUAGUAAUCGCGGAUCAGCUACGCCGCGGUGAAUACGUUCCCGGGUCCUGUACACACCGCCCGUCACGCCAUGGAAGUCACCUGCACAGGAAAUCCCCAAAAGGGACGAAUGUGUGGGUGGCGACUGGGGCGAAGUCGUAACAAGGUACCCCUACCGGAAGGUGGGGGUG
This 1207-nucleotide ribosomal RNA is filed under the name hot springs metagenome. RNAcentral's name for it is "bacterial SSU rRNA". It matches the Rfam family "Bacterial small subunit ribosomal RNA", at positions 310 to 1520 of the family's 1533-position model. The record is from RNAcentral.